Molecule: long non-coding RNA, 862 nt
Filed under: Trifolium pratense (red clover)
Lineage: Eukaryota; Viridiplantae; Streptophyta; Magnoliopsida; Fabales; Fabaceae
Description: long non-coding RNA (TPRA_LNC012719)
Source: RNAcentral
CCUAAUCUCAUGGCGUUUUCGCUGCCUCCACCAUCAAUCCUUUGUCUUCCUCGCCUCAUCACCCACCCACAAACAUUAAUCAACCAAUUUUCACCUAUUUUUCAUUUUUUUUAACCCUAUUUUUCACCAUCGAUUCUCUUCACCUCUUUGUCCGUUCACCAUCUCUUCUGUCUUUCACCAUCGAUUCAAGAAAACAAAGGUAAUGGUUCGAACUGCACUCUGUUUUUCUUCUUUCUUUUUCUAUAUUUUUUAUUUAUUUUUUAUAUAUUUUGCUUUUUCUAGAUUUAGGGUUUUUAGAUUAGGUUCUGUUAUCUCAGUUUCCUUUUAAGUUGUUGUUUUUAUGUUUCUAUUUUACUAGUAAUAUGUUUGUUUAUUUUGAGUAGAGUUUGAGAAUUUCAAAAAGUUAUGGUGAAAUUUGAUACUUGAGGAACAGAGCUUAUGCUUCAUUGCAAAGCUGAAGACAAAAACAGAGGUUAGAGUUUUUAUUUGUUUGUUUUGUUUAUGUUAAGGUUUACAUGUCUUUAUAUUUGACUAACUUUUUGAUCUAUCGUUUUAAACCAUGUCUUUAUGUUAAGGUUUCUCUUUUGCAGAAGCAACAACAUCUCCAUGCUUCUCAAGUUCUUGUGCUAGUCUCAACUCUCAAAGCUCAUUUCAUUGUGUUUUUACUACUUGGUGUUUACAUGUUAAAUUAAUUUUAGGUUGAUGUUGUGUUGUAAUUAUUUUGACUUAAUCCUUUAAUUUCUGUAAUUUAUUUCUGUUGGAAAUGUUACAAUUUUUAUUUUUAUUGUUGUGAAGUGUUAAAUUGAAUCUAUACUUACCAAAAUUUUGUAUGUAACUAAGCAUCAGGAGAAGAAUAAACAAG